Molecule: ribosomal RNA, 444 nt
Filed under: uncultured bacterium
Lineage: Bacteria
Description: partial 16S ribosomal RNA
Rfam family: Bacterial small subunit ribosomal RNA
Source: RNAcentral
GUAGGGAAUAUUGGGCAAUGGUCGGAAGACUGACCCAGCCAUGCCGCGUGCAGGAAGACGGCCCUCUGGGUUGUAAACUGCUUUUAUCUGGGAAGAAAAAGGCCAUGCGUGGCAAAUUGCCGGUACCAGAUGAAUAAGCACCGGCUAACUCCGUGCCAGCAGCCGCGGUAAUACGGAGGGUGCGAGCGUUGUCCGGAUUUAUUGGGUGUAAAGGGUGCGUAGGCGGGUGAUUAAGUCAGUCGUGAAAGACUUCGGCUUAACCGGAGCAGUGCCGUUGAUACUGGUUGGCUUGAGUGUCGGAGGGGUACAUGGAAUUGAUGGUGUAGCGGUGAAAUGCAUAGAUACCAUCAGGAACACCGAUAGCGAAGGCAUUGUACUGGCCGACAACUGACGCUGAUGCACGAAAGUGUGGGGAUCGAACAGGAUUAGAUACCCGAGUAGUCC